RNAcentral lists this ribosomal RNA (1210 nucleotides) under Campylobacter coli. RNAcentral's name for it is "partial 16S ribosomal RNA". It matches the Rfam family "Bacterial small subunit ribosomal RNA", at positions 303 to 1533 of the family's 1533-position model. The record is from RNAcentral. RNAcentral also lists the same sequence under 1 other name. Lineage: Bacteria; Pseudomonadati; Campylobacterota; Epsilonproteobacteria; Campylobacterales; Campylobacteraceae.
AUCAGUCACACUGGAACUGAGACACGGUCCAGACUCCUACGGGAGGCAGCAGUAGGGAAUAUUGCGCAAUGGGGGAAACCCUGACGCAGCAACGCCGCGUGGAGGAUGACACUUUUCGGAGCGUAAACUCCUUUUCUUAGGGAAGAAUUCUGACGGUACCUAAGGAAUAAGCACCGGCUAACUCCGUGCCAGCAGCCGCGGUAAUACGGAGGGUGCAAGCGUUACUCGGAAUCACUGGGCGUAAAGGGCGCGUAGGCGGAUUAUCAAGUCUCUUGUGAAAUCUAAUGGCUUAACCAUUAAACUGCUUGGGAAACUGAUAGUCUAGAGUGAGGGAGAGGCAGAUGGAAUUGGUGGUGUAGGGGUAAAAUCCGUAGAUAUCACCAAGAAUACCCAUUGCGAAGGCGAUCUGCUGGAACUCAACUGACGCUAAGGCGCGAAAGCGUGGGGAGCAAACAGGAUUAGAUACCCUGGUAGUCCACGCCCUAAACGAUGUACACUAGUUGUUGGGGUGCUAGUCAUCUCAGUAAUGCAGCUAACGCAUUAAGUGUACCGCCUGGGGAGUACGGUCGCAAGAUUAAAACUCAAAGGAAUAGACGGGGACCCGCACAAGCGGUGGAGCAUGUGGUUUAAUUCGAAGAUACGCGAAGAACCUUACCUGGGCUUGAUAUCCUAAGAACCUUUUAGAGAUAAGAGGGUGCUAGCUUGCUAGAACUUAGAGACAGGUGCUGCACGGCUGUCGUCAGCUCGUGUCGUGAGAUGUUGGGUUAAGUCCCGCAACGAGCGCAACCCACGUAUUUAGUUGCUAACGGUUCGGCCGAGCACUCUAAAUAGACUGCCUUCGUAAGGAGGAGGAAGGUGUGGACGACGUCAAGUCAUCAUGGCCCUUAUGCCCAGGGCGACACACGUGCUACAAUGGCAUAUACAAUGAGACGCAAUACCGCGAGGUGGAGCAAAUCUAUAAAAUAUGUCCCAGUUCGGAUUGUUCUCUGCAACUCGAGAGCAUGAAGCCGGAAUCGCUAGUAAUCGUAGAUCAGCCAUGCUACGGUGAAUACGUUCCCGGGUCUUGUACUCACCGCCCGUCACACCAUGGGAGUUGAUUUCACUCGAAGCCGGAAUACUAAACUAGUUACCGUCCACAGUGGAAUCAGCGACUGGGGUGAAGUCGUAACAAGGUAACCGUAGGAGAACCUGCGGUUGGAUCACCUCCUUU